AGACAGCAUAAGAACAACUAAAUCUCUCAAAAUUUUAUAAACAGGCUGGGCAUGGUGGCUCAUGCCUGUAAUCCCAGCACUUUGGGACGCCAAGGCAGGUGGAUCACUUGAGGUCAGGAGUUCGAGACCAGCCUGGCCAACAUGGUGAAACCCUGUCUCCACUAAAAAUACAAAAAUUACCCAGGUGUGGUGGCAUGUGCCUGUAGUCCCAGCUACUUGGGAGGCUGAGGCAGGAGAAUUGCUUGAACCCAGGAGGCAGAGGUUGCAGUGAGUUGAGAUUGUGCCACCGCACUCCAACCUGGGCAACAGAGCAAGACUCUGUCUCAAAAAAAAAAUUAUAAGCAAAAUCUACUAAAUUUUAGUCAUUUGACCGUAAGAUAUAAUUUCCAUAAACCUUUCUAUAACCUGUAUAACCUUUUUUUAAGGAGUGUGCUAAUGCUCUAAGAAAAUGCUCAAAAACCAGCCAUAUGCUGGUUUUGCAUCAGUGUGCCUUUGACAUUAAUGGUUAGGUUUAUAGAGAACCAAACUAAUUUAAUCUCUCAACAUCAGCCCUUACAAUCUCAUGCACCCAGCUCUUCCACAAUAGUCCCUGAGCCUUGGGAAGUCGAAUACGUUUAAUUUCUGGCCCUGUGUCUCAUGAAAGCAGUUUAUUUUGAUUGGCAUCUUCUACCAGGUCUGAAGAUGAGGCUUUAACUGCUGUCAGUAUUUAAGAUUGAGCAGGACUUAGUGUCCUUUUUAGACUCAAGAGUCAAACCCUGUAAUUGAAUGGCACAAAAACUUGAAAAGCACAUACAGAAAGUUACACGGAUGCAAUAACUUUAAUUUAGAAUGUUUUUUCAGUUUUUUCUAAGCAAACCAAAACUUAAUAGUAAUGAUAUAGGAAUUAUUUCAAUAAAACAUAAAAUCUGUUUGUUAGGCCAGUUACCAAAAGGCAAAAGCAAAGACCUUCUGCAGUGUAAUUUCUGUUCCCUAUGGGGAAUCCAUUUAGAUAAUCUGCAAGUCAAAACUAAUGAAAAUAGUACUUGAAUUAGACAUAGGAAGAAUG
Molecule: long non-coding RNA, 1045 nt
Filed under: Homo sapiens (human)
Lineage: Eukaryota; Metazoa; Chordata; Mammalia; Primates; Hominidae
Description: HSALNT0148448
Source: RNAcentral